Molecule: ribosomal RNA, 164 nt
Filed under: Clusia celiae
Lineage: Eukaryota; Viridiplantae; Streptophyta; Magnoliopsida; Malpighiales; Clusiaceae
Description: 5.8S ribosomal RNA
Rfam family: 5.8S ribosomal RNA
About the family: 5.8S ribosomal RNA (5.8S rRNA) is a component of the large subunit of the eukaryotic ribosome. It is transcribed by RNA polymerase I as part of the 45S precursor that also contains 18S and 28S rRNA. Functionally, it is thought that 5.8S rRNA may be involved in ribosome translocation.
Source: RNAcentral
GAAGCGACUCUCGGCAACGGAUAUCUCGGCUCUCGCAUCGAUGAAGAACGUAGCGAAAUGCGAUACUUGGUGUGAAUUGCAGAAUCCCGUGAACCAUCGAGUCUUUGAACGCAAGUUGCGCCCGAAGCCUUCUGGUUGAGGGCACGUCUGCCUGGGUGUCACAC